RNAcentral lists this transfer RNA (75 nucleotides) under Williamwhitmania sp. RNAcentral's name for it is "tRNA-Pro". It matches the Rfam family "tRNA". From Rfam's summary of the family: Transfer RNA (tRNA) molecules are approximately 80 nucleotides in length. Their secondary structure includes four short double-helical elements and three loops (D, anti-codon, and T loops). RNAcentral also lists the same sequence under 3 other names. The record is from RNAcentral. Lineage: Bacteria; Pseudomonadati; Bacteroidota; Bacteroidia; Bacteroidales; Williamwhitmaniaceae.
CGGGGUGUAGCGCAGCCCGGUUAGCGCACCUGGUUUGGGACCAGGGGGUCCCAGGUUCGAAUCCUGGUACCCCGA